Molecule: ribosomal RNA, 385 nt
Filed under: uncultured bacterium
Lineage: Bacteria
Description: bacterial SSU rRNA
Rfam family: Bacterial small subunit ribosomal RNA
Source: RNAcentral
AUUGAACGCUGGCGGCAUGCCUUACACAUGCAAGUCGAACGGCAGCACAGGAGCAAUCCUGGUGGCGAGUGGCGAACGGGUGAGUAAUAUAUCGGAACGUGCCCAGUCGUGGGGGAUAACGUAGCGAAAGCUACGCUAAUACCGCAUACGAUCUAUGGAUGAAAGCGGGGGAUCGCAAGACCUCGCGCGAUUGGAGCGGCCGAUAUCAGAUUAGGUAGUUGGUGAGGUAAAGGCUCACCAAGCCGACGAUCUGUAGCUGGUCUGAGAGGACGACCAGCCACACUGGGACUGAGACACGGCCCAGACUCCUACGGGAGGCAGCAGUGGGGAAUUUUUGGACAAUGGGCGCAAGCCUGAUCCAGCAAUGCCGCGUGCAGGAUGAAGG